UAAUUAUGUUUGAAAUUUUUAUAUAAUUAUAGGUUAAAUUUUAAUUAUUUAAAAUGUAUAGUUAUAAUUUUAAAUUUUGUUAAUCGAAUUAGAUUAGUACCUAAUUAGUCAAAAGUUAAAAAAGCAGAAGUAAAGUAAAAUUUAAACUGAAAGAAUAUUGGCAGAUUUUCUAAAUUAUCUUUGGAGGUUGAGUAAUAAUUGAGAACCCUCAUUAACUACUUUUUUAGUUGUCUCAUGUAUGAUCGUUUAUUAUAUGCUUAAGGGAUAUAAUUAAAAAUUUUUAUUUAAAAAAAUAGAUAUAUAUUUGGUUUAUAUAAAAGUAAUAUUUGACCUACAGUAAUUUGUAAUUGUGGAUCUAUUUUUUAGUAAAGUAGUGAAAAUGUAAAAGACAGUAAAAAAAUUUUUAUGAUUUUUUGAAGAUUA
RNAcentral lists this ribosomal RNA (423 nucleotides) under Uncinaria lucasi. Its description in RNAcentral is "partial 12S ribosomal RNA". Lineage: Eukaryota; Metazoa; Nematoda; Chromadorea; Rhabditida; Ancylostomatidae. The record is from RNAcentral.